CGACGGCGCACGGGUGCGUAACACGUAUACAAUCUACCUUAACAGGGGGAUAGCCUUUCGAAAGAGAGAUUAAUACCCCGUAAUAAAUUGAACGGCAUCGUUUGAUUUGAAAGCUCCGGCGGUUUGAGAUGAGUAUGCGUCUGAUUAGCUAGUUGGUGAGGUAACGGCUCACCAAGGCGACGAUCAGUAGGGGACCUGAGAGGACUAACCCCCACACUGGUACUGAGACACGGACCAGACUCCUACGGGAGGCAGCAGUAAGGAAUAUUGGUCAAUGGAGGCAACUCUGAACCAGCCAUGCCGCGUGCAGGAUGACGGCCCUAUGGGUUGUAAACUGCUUUUAUACAAGAGAAAACCCUGGUACGUGUACCAAGUUGAUAGUAUUGUAAGAAUAAGCAUCGGCUAACUUCGUG
RNAcentral lists this ribosomal RNA (413 nucleotides) under uncultured bacterium. RNAcentral's name for it is "bacterial SSU rRNA". It matches the Rfam family "Bacterial small subunit ribosomal RNA", at positions 93 to 507 of the family's 1533-position model. The record is from RNAcentral.